Schistocerca gregaria is the source of this 5346-nucleotide long non-coding RNA. RefSeq lists it as uncharacterized. The record is from RefSeq and is a predicted model, not a curated record. The transcript is spliced from 3 exons. Lineage: Eukaryota; Metazoa; Arthropoda; Insecta; Orthoptera; Acrididae.
CCAAGCCUAAUUAGAAAAUACUGUAUGCAGAAUUCUGACAUCAAAUCUUAUAACAAAGAUGUUUCUCUGUUUUUGCAUAAAAAAAUCAAACAAGUUUGUGAAACGUGUCAUGCAGCGAUAUGCAUCAGCAAAAGUUGAGUUAACUGCAAGAUCAGUGAGUAGGAGAUCGGAUGGUUCAUUUUGUGUGGAGAGUGCAAAGUCCAAAAACUGUAAUUAUGUUGUAACUUUUGAUAUACGAGAUUGCACAUGUGAAGAUUUUCGGAGAUAUAAAUACCCAUGCAAGUAUUUCUGUGCAAUCUUUAUUUUUUACCCAGAGUGGAGUUUUGAUAAAAUGCCAGAAAGUUAUAAGACUAGUCCAUUAAUCUGUCUUGAUGAAAUGUAUGGGGUGGGCUUUAGAAGUGGCUCUUCAGUAAUUUCAUAUGAAGGCAGUAGUAGUGACGAAGCUGUUGAGGAGGCAGUUAAGGCAUCUGAGGAGGCUGUCGAGGCAUCAAAUACAGAUGGUCUAGUUCAAACCCAGAAUAUUCCUAUGCAGCAGUUUGCAGCAAGGGAGUUGUGUAAACAGAUCUAUAAUCUCACAUACAACUGCAGCAACAGUGAAAAAUUACAGAAAGUACAUGAAUCACUGAGCAACUGUGUGCAAGAUUUGCAAUUAGCAAAUCCUGAAGUUGGUGGUCUCCCAUUAGCAGUGCCAUCAACUUCCAAACAAUAGCAAAGAACGAUGUCAAAAGCCUUACAAGAUCUGUCUUAAACACAUUAAAACUUACCAUUUGAAGGGUGAGAAAUGACUGUUUGUUUCAAUUUUAGAUAGCUCUUUGUCUAUGUAAAAUACAAAUAAGCUCAGUCAUUUCUUAUCCUCGAGAUGGAAUGCUAUGAGGUCUUUAUGUUGGUCUCCGAUUUUAAACUUUGAUGCAAAUUUGAAUUUCGAAGUAGCAAUAGAUGAAAUAUUAUAAAAAGGAUAGUUGCUACAUGUGUGUGUGUGUGAGUGAGUGAGUGAGUGAGUGAGUGCACGCGCGCGCUUUUGAAAAGGCCCUUGUUGCCCGAAAGAUAAGUCCGACAAUCUUUUUGUUGUGCCUUUGUGACUCAGCAUCUUCACUAUUUGGUGAGCAGCAACAACUAUCCUUUUCAUAAUAUUGUUACAUUCCAUCCUGGAUUUUUCACUGUUCAUCAGAGAAAAGAUUUUUCUGAGGAAUUAAACUAGAUGGUAGUGUAGAACUUGCGAGCUUUUUAAAAUAUGAAGUAAAAGAUUUUAACUUUAAAUUAGGUUAAUUCAAAUAUGGGACAAUGUUGGGAGUUGAAAAGGUGGAAAAAAUAAAUAAGAUAUAUCUUAGUGGCAUUGAGAUGACAUAUGAGUGAUGGAGGAAAGAUUUUGCAUUUCUUUUUCCAAGUAAGAAUGCACUUGCUCUCACUUGCUUCAAUACAUGUAUAGUGAUUCAUGUGAAACAGAGAAAAAGAUAAAGACUGCCCUGUUAAUGAACACGUGAGAUUGCCCAGUAUCACUUUGACAGAAGAGUAUAGUGUUUCCUUGAUGUGGAAUCUGGUCAGCAACAUCAUUGGGACCAAUGAAAUACCACGCAGAAGCAAUUACUGUUACUGGAAUACCAGUAAUGUUCAUUAAAUUCAGUUCUAAAGUAGUUUUGGGCAUUGCACCUGGUGAGCAAUGUCAUCGGGCAGCAAAAGAAGUUCAGUUAUGAUGGAUUUCUGGCCUUCAGUCCAUGGGAAACUUCACACCAAGAUUGCAUCAAGACUGUUAUACUCCAAGGAUAUCUUGGAAGAUUGAUAGUAUUCCUGAAGGAAAACAAUCCAUAUAGUGUUUCACGUGUGUAUCAAACUGCCAUUUGUUGUGGCACAUAAAUGUUUCCAACUUCACUGUAAUUUGUGAACAGUUUCUCAACAAUCCAAGAAUUUCUUGUAAUUAGAAGUAGACAUUGUUGCUUGGUUAAAAGAAGUACCUUAUUAACUUUCCACAGAGAAAUAUUUUUCACUACUGCUACUUAAAAAUUCAAAUGUGUGACAGUUUGCUUACAGAACUUGGCAUAAAGAUCUCCCUUACUUGUAUUUUUAGAUAGCUCUUAUUGUUUGAUCCUUCAAAUGGAAUGCUAUGACCUCCAUGUGAUCUAUUCCUUAAUAGUUAAUUAUCCAUUAAGGCACAAAUAUAUGAACAUUACAAUGAGAGAGGUCUUUAUGCCAGGCCCUGUAAAAGUAAUGGCAUCUUACUUAAUAUUAUUGUUGGCAUUUGAUGGCACAGCUGUUUGGAGACCACAAAUUUGAGGGUUUGCUAACUGCAAAUCUAGCACACAGUUGCUGAGUGAUUAAGUACUUUUCAUAAUGUUUUACUGUUGACACAGUUGUAUGUGAGAUUAUAAACCUGUUUGAACAACACCUUCACUUCAAAUUGCUGCAAAGAAAUGGUUAAGGUAUCAGUUGAUGCUCUAUGUGUGUUUCCUCAACUGUGUCCUCAUUGCUACUGUCUUCAUGCGAAAUUACUGCAGACACACUUCUGAAACCAAACCUGUACAUCUCGUGAAGACAGAUUAAUUGGCUAUUCCUGUGGCUUUCUAGUAUUUUAUCAAAACCCCACUCUGGAUAGAAAAUAAAGAUUGCACAGAACUGUUUGCAUGGGUAUUUAUAUAUCUCAAAAUCUUCACAUGCGCAGUUUGGUAGAGCAAAGCUUACAACAUAAUUACAGUCUUUGAACAUCGUACUCUCCAUACAAAACAUUGUCCAACUUCACAUUCACUAAUCUUGCAGUUAACUCAACUUUCCCUGGUGCAUAUCACUGCAUGGAAUGUUUCACAAACUUGCUUGAAAAAAGAAAAUGAAAAAGAAAAAACAGUGGAACAUCUCUGCAGAAUUCUGCAAUCAAAUAAUUACAGACAGUACUUUCUGAUUAGGCUUGGAAGAAAUUGAUUUCUUAUACCCAUAGUAGCCCCAUUCAAGGUCCCAUCUGUAUUCCCUUUUAGGAAAAAAAAUGUUUACAAUCUUGUUCAUGGCUUCAACUUCACUUGUCAAUGGUAUCAAAAUUGCCCUUGUCCUCAUAAGCUUCCAUUCUCUUUUCAUGUACCAGUAGCCACUGCUGUUAAACGUACGGUGAUGCAUAUUCAUUUCUCUGAGAAGCCUCACUAUCUCUUCUGUAUGAUCUGUAAAUUCUCUGUUUGUGAUUCUGAAAUUUCUUGCCCCAUGCCCAGAAAUCUCUUCAUGUCAUUUGGUAUAUAUUCAGCCAUCUUCCUCAAACCUGUUUCAGACUGAAAAGGCACAAGUAAACUUUUGUGUGAGGGGAAAUGCUUGAUGAGUUGUGUUUAUCUCAGACUGUUGAGAAAUCAGUAACCCAGUAGAUGGGAUUCCAAUCCUUGAAAAUGGCUAGUGCUUCAUGAAUGGAUCUCGCAUUUCAAACCUUGAAUGAAAAAGAAAACCAAAUAACCCACAUUACUCUUUGCAGCUAUAAAAAAAAAGAAAGGCAUAUCAUGUGUUGUUGUUUUGUAUGUUGCAUAUAACAACUAUCCCUGUACUUCUUCAAAAGUGAUGGUUUCACUCCUCCAUUGGCACCUAUGCCAUGUUUGUAAUAAAUCAUGUGAUUGCUUUAUUCCUUGUGCCGCUCGUCAGCAUGAUCCUGCAAUCUAGUCUCGCCAAACAAUGCUUUAUUUGUACAUUACAAGGUCCAAUAUGUAUGAAUAUAAUUUUUUUCAAUGGGGUAAAAUGUAGUAUUCAUUAGACCUGGUGUGUGUGUCCCAGUGAAAUUAUCAAUAAAUGUAUCUAGAGCCAAAUUAUUGGCUGUAUGAUGUCAUUCCAUCAUGCACCUGAAUUUGUAUUUCCUUUACAAGCUAUUGUUAGCAUGUGUGUGUGCUGAUUUGCUGGAGAAGCAGAGAGAUAGUCUUUCAGCUAUCUUUGAGACAGUUAAAGGAGGUGCUUUAGAAAGGAGUGUCCUGAUUGAUAUGAAAAACAGUUUUCAAAUUUUCUGUGCAAACUGCAAACAGUUCCUCAGUUGGUGACUGUGGAAAAGAUUGCCAUAGCCACAGUAUUGAUCCACUGUCAGGUGGUAAACCUAGGAUUUCCUUCCAGUAUGAGCCAAGUGAAGUAAAACCGUGGAUGGAGAAAUGUUUUAUAUUCUUAAACUGAGUAUUUAUAACCCAUUAUGUUGGAUUGCAGUUCAUGUGUCAACACUUAAAAAUGUUUAGUUCUUCGCUGAUGACACUGAUACAAUUUCAAUUUUUUAAGGCUAUUCUGUGUCAAGUUAAAUUUUGAAUUAUCCAUUUAAGCUUAUUUUUUGCUGUGUGGCAGAUGGAUUUAUGUUCAUGUAAUAUUUUUAACAUUGAUUGUGGUAAGGUGUAAUCAUAUGUAAAUGCCCAAUAAAAUGUGUGUGUGUGUGUGUGUGUGUGUGUGUGUAAAAGAUAUUAUAAUUUCAUGGGAAAUCUGGCAGUAACAAUUCAGAAAUUGUGUGCAGAAUAUACCUAACUAUCAACACCUGUAAGCAGCUAAAGGUCUGGAUUUCAUUAUUUCAUUCUUAGAGAGCUGCAAGAUCACCAAUGGUAUCUGUACAGAUACCAGCUUCAUAUAAAUUAGUAAAGUUUUUACUGACUAUUAUUCACCUAAGCCGAAAAUAAGGCUUCAUUCAGUAGUAGUACUACAUAAUGGUGAUACUUCAGUACAACUUUGAACCCUUUAACUGGCUGAGUUCAGCAGGAGCAAAGUAUAUUCUUCAAGUUACGUUUCACAUGCAACUACAAAGCCUUUGCCUUGAAUGUCAUGUGAUUUUGCACUCUGCUGCUAAGUUUUCCUUUUAGAGUUGUUAUAUUUCUUAAAGAGGCUUCUGUUACAAAAACUAGCAAUCCACAUAGGUAACAUGUGUGACUGAUAUUCCUUAUGUAUCACAACCUUAUUUCAGUUUCACUCUGUUGUUGCUGGUAACUGUUAUGAUGGAAGAGUUGAUUUGUGCCACAUUAAGAAAGAUUAAGAAAAAAGUCAUUUACAAACUCUUGAAAAGGAGGCAGGGUUCCCCAAAAGUGUUAAGGUUGCCAUAAGCAGUCACUUUCGUUGGAUUAAGGUCUUUCCAUAUCCUUUCUGGAUAUUUCAGCCAGCUGCAUCCUAUUGUAGAGAUAGACUAACCAAAAACCUUAGUGUUAUAUGAAUAGAACAGAAAAAACUUUAUUAAAUGCACAAAGGACUGGUAAGUACCUUCAUGUAUGGACCACUUUCAAAAAAAUACACUGUGUCUGUGACAUGAAAAGUGUAUGUAUGUUUAAAGGGGUGGUGUUCCUGUUGCAGAGGAAUUAAUUUAGUGUACAAUCCUUACUGUGAUUUGUAUUAUCAAUGUUUUGAGGGGAAUGGAAAUAUUAAAGUAAUGGUAUACAA